CAAUCCGCAACCGGCGAACGGGUGCGUAACACGUGAGCAAUCUACCGAUUUGAGGGGGAUAGCCGGCCCAACGGCCGGGUAACACCGCAUACGCUCACGGCGAGGAGUCUCGCUGUGAGGAAACCUCCGGGGCAAAUCGAGGAGCUCGCGGCCUAUCAGCUAGUUGGCGGGGUAACGGCCCACCAAGGCGACGACGGGUAGCUGGUCUGAGAGGAUGGCCAGCCACAUUGGGACUGAGAGACGGCCCAGACUCCUACGGGAGGCAGCAGUGGGGAAUCUUGCGCAAUGGCCGAAAGGCUGACGCAGCGACGCCGCGUGUGGGAGGACGCCCUUCGGGGUGUAAACCACUGUUGCCCGGGACGAAUGCCCCUUUCGAGGGGAGUGACGGUACCGGGUGAGGAAGCACCGGCUAACUCCGUGCCAGCAGCCGCGGUAAUACGGAGGGUGCGAGCGUUGUCCGGAAUCACUGGGCGUAAAGGGCGCGUAGGCGGCUUCUUAAGCGUG
RNAcentral lists this ribosomal RNA (504 nucleotides) under uncultured soil bacterium. RNAcentral describes it as "bacterial SSU rRNA". It matches the Rfam family "Bacterial small subunit ribosomal RNA", at positions 85 to 591 of the family's 1533-position model. The record is from RNAcentral.